AAACUUAUCAAUUUUAUAAGAAUCUCAGUAGCCAAUACAUUACAAGUUAAACCUACUAAAUCUCCCAUCUCUUCCUUUUCGGUAUCUUCAAUUUUUAAAUUACACAAUUUAAUUUUGUAAUUUGGGAAAAAAAUUACAUAAAAAUAUAAGAGAGAAACGGGAGCUAUAUAAAUCUCUAAUCACAAACCACUUACGACGGGCGGUUCGUCGGCCUGGCAGAUAUUCGAACCGGAAUUGGUCGACCAGUACCAACUACUACACACCAUGCGACCGGAGCCAGCACAAGUCCGACAUCCCACAUCUCCAUCUGACCAGCGAGAGCAGAGACAAGUAACUCGACCUGUGCCGUUGCAAGUUGAGCACCGCUGGAAUGGACCAGCCAUGGGCUUCUGUUCCAUCACCGAUUUGACGAGGACGGCUCCGGCCAGCACGCUAAGGCCCGUCGCAAGCUGAGUCAAGACAAUCGGUCCCAUUUUCAGGCGGAUCAGAGAGAGAGAGGGGGGGAAAGAGAAGUUCCGGAGCGAAAUGAGAGAGGAGGAGGAAAGAUUUUU
This 551-nucleotide unclassified non-coding RNA is filed under the name Hevea brasiliensis (rubber tree). The record is from RNAcentral. Lineage: Eukaryota; Viridiplantae; Streptophyta; Magnoliopsida; Malpighiales; Euphorbiaceae.